AGACCCGAAACCCGGUGAUCUAGCCAUGGGCAGGUUGAAGGUUGGGUAACACUAACUGGAGGACCGAACCGACUAAUGUUGAAAAAUUAGCGGAUGACCUGUGGCUGGGGGUGAAAGGCCAAUCAAACCGGGAGAUAGCUGGUUCUCCCCGAAAGCUAUUUAGGUAGCGCCUCGUGAAUUCAUCUCCGGGGGUAGAGCACUGUUUCGGCUAGGGGGCCAUCCCGGCUUACCAACCCGAUGCAAACUGCGAAUACCGGAGAAUGUUAUCACGGGAGACACACGGCGGGUGCUAACGUCCGUCGUGAAGAGGGAAACAACCCAGACCGCCAGCUAAGGUCCCAAAGUCAUGGUUAAGUGGGAAACGAUGUGGGAAGGCCCAGACAGCCAGGAUGUUGGCUUAGAAGCAGCCAUCAUUUAAAGAAAGCGUAAUAGCUCACUGGUCGAGUCGGCCUGCGCGGAAGAUGUAACGGGGCUAAACCAUGCACCGAAGCUGCGGCAGCGACACUGUGUGUUGUUGGGUAGGGGAGCGUUCUGUAAGCCUGUGAAGGUGUGUCGUGAGGCAUGCUGGAGGUAUCAGAAGUGCGAAUGCUGACAUAAGUAACGAUAAAGCGGGUGAAAAGCCCGCUCGCCGGAAGACCAAGGGUUCCUGUCCAACGUUAAUCGGGGCAGGGUGAGUCGACCCCUAAGGCGAGGCCGAAAGGCGUAGUCGAUGGGAAACGGGUUAAUAUUCCCGUACUUGGUGUUACUGCGAAGGGGGGACGGAGAAGGCUAUGUUGGCCGGGCGACGGUUGUCCCGGUUUAAGCGUGUAGGUGUGUGUUCCAGGUAAAUCCGGUUCACUUUAACACUGAGGCGUGAUGACGAGGCACUACGGUGCUGAAGUGACAAAUGCCCUGCUUCCAGGAAAAGCCUCUAAGCAUCAGGUAACAUCAAAUCGUACCCCAAACCGACACAGGUGGUCAGGUAGAGAAUACCAAGGCGCUUGAGAGAACUCGGGUGAAGGAACUAGGCAAAAUGGUGCCGUAACUUCGGGAGAAGGCACGCUGACACGUAGGUGAAGUGAUUUACUCAUGGAGCUGAAGUCAGUCGAAGAUACCAGCUGGCUGCAACUGUUUAUUAAAAACACAGCACUGUGCAAACACGAAAGUGGACGUAUACGGUGUGACGCCUGCCCGGUGCCGGAAGGUUAAUUGAUGGGGUCAGCGCAAGCGAAGCUCCUGAUCGAAGCCCCGGUAAACGGCGGCCGUAACUAUAACGGUCCUAAGGUAGCGAAAUUCCUUGUCGGGUAAGUUCCGACCUGCACGAAUGGCGUAAUGAUGGCCAGGCUGUCUCCACCCGAGACUCAGUGAAAUUGAACUCGCUGUGAAGAUGCAGUGUACCCGCGGCAAGACGGAAAGACCCCGUGAACCUUUACUAUAGCUUGACACUGAACAUUGAGCCUUGAUGUGUAGGAUAGGUGGGAGGCUUUGAAGCGUGGACGCCAGUCUGCGUGGAGCCGACCUUGAAAUACCACCCUUUAAUGUUUGAUGUUCUAACGUGGACCCGUAAUCCGGGUUGCGGACAGUGUCUGGUGGGUAGUUUGACUGGGGCGGUCUCCUCCUAAAGAGUAACGGAGGAGCACGAAGGUUGGCUAAUCCUGGUCGGACAUCAGGAGGUUAGUGCAAUGGCAUAAGCCAGCUUGACUGCGAGCGUGACGGCGCGAGCAGGUGCGAAAGCAGGUCAUAGUGAUCCGGUGGUUCUGAAUGGAAGGGCCAUCGCUCAACGGAUAAAAGGUACUCCGGGGAUAACAGGCUGAUACCGCCCAAGAGUUCAUAUCGACGGCGGUGUUUGGCACCUCGAUGUCGGCUCAUCACAUCCUGGGGCUGAAGUAGGUCCCAAGGGUAUGGCUGUUCGCCAUUUAAAGUGGUACGCGAGCUGGGUUUAGAACGUCGUGAGACAGUUCGGUCCCUAUCUGCCGUGGGCGCUGGAGAACUGAGGGGGGCUGCUCCUAGUACGAGAGGACCGGAGUGGACGCAUCACUGGUGUUCGGGUUGUCAUGCCAAUGGCACUGCCCGGUAGCUAAAUGCGGAAGAGAUAAGUGCUGAAAGCAUCUAAGCACGAAACUUGCCCCGA
Molecule: ribosomal RNA, 2110 nt
Filed under: Salmonella enterica
Lineage: Bacteria; Pseudomonadati; Pseudomonadota; Gammaproteobacteria; Enterobacterales; Enterobacteriaceae
Description: partial 23S ribosomal RNA
Rfam family: Bacterial large subunit ribosomal RNA
Source: RNAcentral